Molecule: unclassified non-coding RNA, 236 nt
Filed under: rhizosphere metagenome
Description: partial ribosomal RNA internal transcribed spacer region
Source: RNAcentral
GUUGGUGAACCAGCGGAGGGAUCAUUACCGAGUUUUCUACUCCCAAACCCCUGUGAACUUAUACCUUUACCGUUGCUUCGGCGGGUUAACGCCCCGGAAAGGCCCCCGAAAGGGAGCCGCCCCGGAACCAGGCGCCCGCCGGGGGACCCAAACUCUUGUAUUUUCUUACCUAGCAUGUCUGAGUGGAAUCAUAAACAAAUGAAUCAAAACUUUCAACAACGGAUCUCUUGGUUCUG